Molecule: ribosomal RNA, 1600 nt
Filed under: human gut metagenome
Description: bacterial LSU rRNA
Rfam family: Bacterial large subunit ribosomal RNA
Source: RNAcentral
CAAUCGAACUCGGAGAUAGCUGGUUCUCCCCGAAAUAGCUUUAGGGCUAGCGUCGGAUAUGUGUAGUGGAGGUAGAGCACUGAAUGGGCUAGGGGGCAUAUCGCUUACCGAACCUUAUCAAACUCCGAAUGCCAUAUACAUUAAGUCCGGCAGUCAGACUACGAAUGAUAAGAUCCGUGGUCAAAAGGGAAACAGCCCAGACCGUCAGCUAAGGUCCCAAAGUGUAAGUUAAGUGGAAAAGGAUGUGGGAUUUCUAAGACAACUAGGAUGUUGGCUUAGAAGCAGCCACUCAUUUAAAGAGUGCGUAAUAGCUCACUAGUCGAGAGAUCCUGCGCCGAAAAUGUACCGGGGCUAAACUUACCACCGAAGCUACGGAUUUGCAAGUAAUUGCAAGUGGUAGGGGAGCGUCGUAAUCGGGCUGAAGUCGUACCGGAAGGAGCGGUGGACUGAUUACGAGUGAGAAUGUUGGCAUUAGUAGCGAGAUGUAGGUGAGAAUCCUACAGGCCGAAUAUCUAAGGUUUCCUCAGGAAGGCUCGUCCGCUGAGGGUUAGUCGGGACCUAAGCCGAGGCCGAAAGGCGUAGGCGAUGGACAAUCGGUUGAUAUUCCGAUACCACUACCAUCGUUAUUAUCGAGGGUGUGACGGAGAAGGAUAGUGUGUGCUAGCGAUUGGAAAUGCUAGUCUAAGCGUUUAGGGAGUUACGGUAGGCAAAUCCGCUGUAACAAUUCUGAGGCGUGAUGGGGAAGGUCAUUAAGACCGAAGUACAUGAUUCCAUGCUUCCAAGAAAAGCAUCUAGAGAGAGAAGUAGUGCCCGUACCGCAAACCGACACAGGUAGAUGAGGAGAGAAUCCUAAGGCCGGCGGAAGAAUUGCAGUUAAGGAACUAGGCAAAUUGACCCCGUAAGUUCGCGAGAAGGGGUGCCUGCGAGAGCAGGCCGCAGAGAAUAGGCCCAAGCAACUGUUUAGCAAAAACACAGGUCUCUGCUAAAGCGUAAGCUGAUGUAUAGGGGCUGACGCCUGCCCGGUGCUGGAAGGUUAAGGGGAACACUUAGCGCAAGCGAAGGUGUGAACUUAAGCCCCAGUAAACGGCGGCCGUAACUAUAACGGUCCUAAGGUAGCGAAAUUCCUUGUCAGGUAAGUUCUGACCCGCACGAAUGGCGUAAUGACUUGGGCACUGUCUCAACUGCAAAUCCGGCGAAGUUGUAGUGCGAGUGAAGAUGCUCGCUACCCGCGAUUGGACGGAAAGACCCCGUAGAGCUUUACUGUAGCUUAGCAUUGAAUUCCGGUAUUGUCUGUACAGGAUAGGUGGGAGACUGGGAAACUAGGGCGUCAGCCUUAGUGGAGUCAACCUUGGGAUACCACCCUGACAGUACUGGGGUUCUAACAGGACGCCAUGAAGCUGGUGACUGGACAUUGUUAGGUGGGCAGUUUGACUGGGGCGGUCGCCUCCUAAAAAGUAACGGAGGCGCCCAAAGGUUCCCUCAGAACGGUCGGAAAUCGUUCGUAGAGUGCAAAGGCAGAAGGGAGCCUGACUGCGAGACCUACAAGUCGAGCAGGGACGAAAGUCGGGCUUAGUGAUCCGGUGGUACCGAGUGGAAGGGC